RNAcentral lists this ribosomal RNA (1930 nucleotides) under Klebsiella pneumoniae. Its description in RNAcentral is "partial 23S ribosomal RNA". It matches the Rfam family "Bacterial large subunit ribosomal RNA", at positions 911 to 2823 of the family's 2925-position model. Lineage: Bacteria; Pseudomonadati; Pseudomonadota; Gammaproteobacteria; Enterobacterales; Enterobacteriaceae. The record is from RNAcentral.
UGUUUCGGCUAGGGGGUCAUCCCGACUUACCAACCCGAUGCAAACUACGAAUACCGAAGAAUGUUAUCACGGGAGACACACGGCGGGUGCUAACGUCCGUCGUGAAGAGGGAAACAACCCAGACCGCCAGCUAAGGUCCCAAAGUCAUGGUUAAGUGGGAAACGAUGUGGGAAGGCACAGACAGCCAGGAUGUUGGCUUAGAAGCAGCCAUCAUUUAAAGAAAGCGUAAUAGCUCACUGGUCGAGUCGGCCUGCGCGGAAGAUGUAACGGGGCUAAACCAUGCACCGAAGCUGCGGCAGCGACACUAUGUGUUGUUGGGUAGGGGAGCGUUCUGUAAGCCUGCGAAGGUGUGCUGUGAGGCAUGCUGGAGGUAUCAGAAGUGCGAAUGCUGACAUAAGUAACGAUAAAGCGGGUGAAAAGCCCGCUCGCCGGAAGACCAAGGGUUCCUGUCCAACGUUAAUCGGGGCAGGGUGAGUCGACCCCUAAGGCGAGGCCGAAAGGCGUAGUCGAUGGGAAACAGGUUAAUAUUCCUGUACUUGGUGUUACUGCGAAGGGGGGACGGAGAAGGCUAUGUUAGCCGGGCGACGGUUGUCCCGGUUUAAGCAUGUAGGCUGAUUGUCCAGGCAAAUCCGGAUAAUCAAGGCUGAGGUGUGAUGACGAGGCACUACGGUGCUGAAGUAACAAAUGCCCUGCUUCCAGGAAAAGCCUCUAAGCAUCAGGUAACAUCAAAUCGUACCCCAAACCGACACAGGUGGUCAGGUAGAGAAUACCAAGGCGCUUGAGAGAACUCGGGUGAAGGAACUAGGCAAAAUGGUGCCGUAACUUCGGGAGAAGGCACGCUGGUGUGUAGGUGAAGUCCCUGCGGAUGGAGCUGAGACCAGUCGAAGAUACCAGCUGGCUGCAACUGUUUAUUAAAAACACAGCACUGUGCAAACACGAAAGUGGACGUAUACGGUGUGACGCCUGCCCGGUGCCGGAAGGUUAAUUGAUGGGGUUAUCCGUAAGGAGAAGCUCUUGAUCGAAGCCCCGGUAAACGGCGGCCGUAACUAUAACGGUCCUAAGGUAGCGAAAUUCCUUGUCGGGUAAGUUCCGACCUGCACGAAUGGCGUAAUGAUGGCCAGGCUGUCUCCACCCGAGACUCAGUGAAAUUGAACUCGCUGUGAAGAUGCAGUGUACCCGCGGCAAGACGGAAAGACCCCGUGAACCUUUACUAUAGCUUGACACUGAACAUUGAGCCUUGAUGUGUAGGAUAGGUGGGAGGCUUUGAAGCGUGGACGCCAGUCUGCGUGGAGCCAACCUUGAAAUACCACCCUUUAAUGUUUGAUGUUCUAACGUUGGCCCCUUACCGGGGUUGCGGACAGUGUCUGGUGGGUAGUUUGACUGGGGCGGUCUCCUCCCAAAGCGUAACGGAGGAGCACGAAGGUUAGCUAAUCCUGGUCGGACAUCAGGAGGUUAGUGCAAUGGCAUAAGCUAGCUUGACUGCGAGCGUGACGGCGCGAGCAGGUGCGAAAGCAGGUCAUAGUGAUCCGGUGGUUCUGAAUGGAAGGGCCAUCGCUCAACGGAUAAAAGGUACUCCGGGGAUAACAGGCUGAUACCGCCCAAGAGUUCAUAUCGACGGCGGUGUUUGGCACCUCGAUGUCGGCUCAUCACAUCCUGGGGCUGAAGUAGGUCCCAAGGGUAUGGCUGUUCGCCAUUUAAAGUGGUACGCGAGCUGGGUUUAGAACGUCGUGAGACAGUUCGGUCCCUAUCUGCCGUGGGCGCUGGAGAAUUGAGGGGGGCUGCUCCUAGUACGAGAGGACCGGAGUGGACGCAUCACUGGUGUUCGGGUUGUCAUGCCAAUGGCACUGCCCGGUAGCUAAAUGCGGAAGAGAUAAGUGCUGAAAGCAUCUAAGCACGAAACUUGCCCCGAGAUGAGUUCUCCCUGAGACUU